This 1138-nucleotide long non-coding RNA is filed under the name Struthio camelus australis. Its description in RNAcentral is "lncRNA (ENSSCUG00000000344.1)". The record is from RNAcentral. Lineage: Eukaryota; Metazoa; Chordata; Aves; Struthioniformes; Struthionidae.
ACUGGAGUUAUCAGUGGUUGAAUUAGCUCUACAUAAGCCUCUGUGCUCUCAGAAGUGGCAAUACAAGGUCUUGAUAAGGGGUAAUUGGUUGUUUCUCAGCAGGUAGCCUGGUUAGUGCUAAGUUCCAUGAUGCCAUGGAUGGACUUCUAGUAUGAACUAAUACGUGGCUGCCCGGCUUAAAAUUAACUUGACCAUCUCUUUCCAAUGCUGCAGUAGCUACUGUGUCUUCAUUUAAUAAUUACUGUGGCUUGCUUACCUAAAAUUUGUUUCUGAAUCCUCUCUGUGUCUUCCCUCACUACAAAUUAAUAAUAGUUAAUGCUCGUUAAUACAAUAAGGUCUAUUUUUCCUUUAGGAGCAUAGAAUUUAAUUUCUAUAGCCCAAGUCCAUCUUGUGUAAAAAUUAUGUUCCCAGAGUUUACCUACCCCUUCCUUUCAGCUGACGGGACUGACUUUGAAUGUUUCAUCCUUUAGAUCACCACCUAGAUCACCACCAUUGAAGAUACCUGAAAAUCAAUAGAUGGAUAUCUUGCUAUACUGUAUGAAGUAGAAUGAGUUAAGUGUGGUGUCAAGGAGUGUGUAGACCGUGAAGGACUGCUUGUCACCAAAUGGACGUGUCUGUGCUAGUUCAGAAUCUCCUUCAAGCUACGUUUGAAAUAUUUCUCUGUUGCAAAUCAAUCUUUACAUCUGUGAAAGCAAUCUACAAUUGUCUCCUGUAUUUCACAACUUGGUAUGUAUAAAAAAGUGAGUUUUUGUGACGUUGGUUUUUACAAAUACUCAGAAAAAGAGAAGAAAUAAUGCACAGGGGAAAAGGAAAUGGGGAACAAGAUGAGAACAAAAUGAUAGUUUUUGGAAUCUGUGGAAAAGGGAGAGAGAGAAGACAUCCAUGAAAGAUGGUUCUAGAAACUAAAAACUUGCUGAAUCCUAGAAAGGAUGUGCAGGAUGUCACAAAAUAAUUUUUAAUCUUUGUUACCUCUCUCUCUCCCCCAGUAACCGUCCCCCCCCCCCAGAUAUGUAUUCCACAUUCGAUGUAUUCCCUGUGCCCUUAUCUCUCUUCCUGAGAUGCUAUAAGAGCUAACAAACUUAGCACUGAAGACCCACAGGCUGGGAUAUCCAUGUUUCACAGCAUGAGCAGUUCACAG